AGAGAGGCUUGCUUCUCUUGAGAGCGGCGGACGGGUGAGUAAUGCCUAGGAAUCUGCCUGGUAGUGGGGGAUAACGCUCGGAAACGGACGCUAAUACCGCAUACGUCCUACGGGAGAAAGCAGGGGACCUUCGGGCCUUGCGCUAUCAGAUGAGCCUAGGUCGGAUUAGCUAGUUGGUGAGGUAAUGGCUCACCAAGGCGACGAUCCGUAACUGGUCUGAGAGGAUGAUCAGUCACACUGGAACUGAGACACGGUCCAGACUCCUACGGGAGGCAGCAGUGGGGAAUAUUGGACAAUGGGCGAAAGCCUGAUCCAGCCAUGCCGCGUGUGUGAAGAAGGUCUUCGGAUUGUAAAGCACUUUAAGUUGGGAGGAAGGACAGUAAAUUAAUACUUUGCUGUUUUGACGUUACCGACAGAAUAAGCACCGGCUAACUCUGUGCCAGCAGCCGCGGUAAUACAGAGGGUGCAAGCGUUAAUCGGAAUUACUGGGCGUAAAGCGCGCGUAGGUGGUUUGUUAAGUUGGAUGUGAAAUCCCCGGGCUCAACCUGGGAACUGCAUUCAAAACUGACAAGCUAGAGUAUGGUAGAGGGUGGUGGGAUUUCCUGUGUAGCGGUGAAAUGCGUAGAUAUAGGAAGGAACACCAGUGGCGAAGGCGACCACCUGGACUGAUACUGACACUGAGGUGCGAAAGCGUGGGGAGCAAACAGGAUUAGGUACCCUGGUAGUCCACGCCGUAAACGAUGUCAACUAGCCGUUGGGAGCCUUGAGCUCUUAGUGGCGCAGCUAACGCAUUAAGUUGACCGCCUGGGGAGUACGGGCGCAAGGUUAAAACUCAAAUGAAUUGACGGGGGCCCGCACAAGCGGUGGAGCAUGUGGUUUAAUUCGAAGCAACGCGAAGAACCUUACCAGGGCUUGACAUCCA
RNAcentral lists this ribosomal RNA (922 nucleotides) under uncultured bacterium. RNAcentral's name for it is "bacterial SSU rRNA". It matches the Rfam family "Bacterial small subunit ribosomal RNA", at positions 72 to 990 of the family's 1533-position model. The record is from RNAcentral.